RNAcentral lists this ribosomal RNA (253 nucleotides) under uncultured bacterium. Its description in RNAcentral is "partial 16S ribosomal RNA". It matches the Rfam family "Bacterial small subunit ribosomal RNA", at positions 524 to 776 of the family's 1533-position model. The record is from RNAcentral.
UACGAAGGGGGCUAGCGUUGCUCGGAAUCACUGGGCGUAAAGCGCACGUAGGCGGAUUCCUAAGUCGGGGGUGAAAUCCUGGAGCUUAACUCCAGAACUGCCUUCGAUACUGGGAAUCUUGAGUCCGGAAGAGGUGAGUGGAACUGCGAGUGUAGAGGUGAAAUUCGUAGAUAUUCGCAAGAACACCAGUGGCGAAGGCGGCCCACUGGUCCGGUACUGACGCUGAGGUGCGAAAGCGUGGGGAGCAAACAGG